UUGGCGGCAGGCCUAACACAUGCAAGUCGAGCGCACUCUUCGGAGUGAGCGGCGGACGGGUUAGUAACGCGUGGGAAUAUACCCUUUUCUACGGAAUAGCCUCGGGAAACUGAGAGUAAUACCGUAUACGCCCUUCGGGGGAAAGAUUUAUCGGUGAAGGAUUAGCCCGCGUAAGAUUAGAUAGUUGGUGGGGUAAUGGCCUACCAAGUCUACGAUCUUUAGCUGGUUUGAGAGGAUGAUCAGCAACACUGGGACUGAGACACGGCCCAGACUCCUACGGGAGGCAGCAGUGGGGAAUCUUAGACAAUGGGCGCAAGCCUGAUCUAGCCAUGCCGCGUGAGUGACGAAGGCCUUAGGGUCGUAAAGCUCUUUCGCCAGAGAUGAUAAUGACAGUAUCUGGUAAAGAAACCCCGGCUAACUCCGUGCCAGCAGCCGCGGUAAUACGGAGGGGGUUAGCGUUGUUCGGAAUUACUGGGCGUAAAGCGUACGUAGGCGGAUUGGAAAGUAGGGGGUGAAAUCCCAGGGCUCAACCCUGGAACUGCCUCCUAAACUAUCAGUCUAGAGUUCGAGAGAGGUGAGUGGAAUUCCAAGUGUAGAGGUGAAAUUCGUAGAUAUUUGGAGGAACACCAGUGGCGAAGGCGGCUCACUGGCUCGAUACUGACGCUGAGGUACGAAAGUGUGGGGAGCAAACAGGAUUAGAUACCCUGGUAGUCCACACCGUAAACGAUGAAUGCCAGACGUCGGGGGGCUUGCCCUUCGGUGUCACACCUAACGGAUUAAGC
This 782-nucleotide ribosomal RNA is filed under the name uncultured Loktanella sp. RNAcentral's name for it is "bacterial SSU rRNA". It matches the Rfam family "Bacterial small subunit ribosomal RNA", at positions 36 to 865 of the family's 1533-position model. The record is from RNAcentral. Lineage: Bacteria; Pseudomonadati; Pseudomonadota; Alphaproteobacteria; Rhodobacterales; Roseobacteraceae.